RNAcentral lists this transfer RNA (67 nucleotides) under Marmota monax (woodchuck). Its description in RNAcentral is "tRNA.Ala". It matches the Rfam family "tRNA". Rfam says of the family: Transfer RNA (tRNA) molecules are approximately 80 nucleotides in length. Their secondary structure includes four short double-helical elements and three loops (D, anti-codon, and T loops). The record is from RNAcentral. Lineage: Eukaryota; Metazoa; Chordata; Mammalia; Rodentia; Sciuridae.
GGUUGUGGCUCAGUGGUAGAGCACUUGCCUAGCGUGCGAGGCACACUGGGUUCAAUCCUCAGCACCA